This is a long non-coding RNA of Poecilia latipinna (sailfin molly), 540 nucleotides long. RefSeq lists it as uncharacterized. The transcript has 3 exons. Lineage: Eukaryota; Metazoa; Chordata; Actinopteri; Cyprinodontiformes; Poeciliidae. The record is from RefSeq and is a predicted model, not a curated record.
AACAGAAGAUCAGUGAUGAAACCAUCCUGAUCUGCUCUGUAUCAUCAUUUGGUGGAUGUUCUCACUCAGUGAAGUGGCUGUAUGAUAACAAAGAUGAUGUAAAUAUCAAAACCAUAACUCCUCCUCAGUCUGCCUGUUCAGCCACUGUGAGCUUCACAACUUCUCCUCAUGUUUCCACAUCAAAACGUUCUGAGUUAUUCAGAUGUCAAGUUAAAACUCGAGGAGACAUGAAGGAGUUUAGCUUCAGGAUUUCACCUCAGAGAGAAAAAACAGGUACAAUGCAAGCAACUAAAGUGAUGACAACAUUCUCAACAACUUGGAAAACAACUAUAACAACAACUAAGGCACUUCCAGCAGCAACUACAACAACAACAACAAACAUGGCAGCAGCACAGUCUACAAUCACAAUCUCAAUCAAACGCAAAACAGGAAGUGAUUCAUCAAACUCUAAUGGUGGAUUGAAACUGAGGUUCCUCGUUGUGUUUUUGGGUUUAGCUGCUCUCCUAGCAGCUGUUGUGGCCGUCAACAUCUGGACAAAGA